Long non-coding RNA from Rhodamnia argentea, 209 nucleotides. RefSeq lists it as uncharacterized. The transcript is spliced from 3 exons. The record is from RefSeq and is a predicted model, not a curated record. Lineage: Eukaryota; Viridiplantae; Streptophyta; Magnoliopsida; Myrtales; Myrtaceae.
UAAAGUGAUAAUUUCAUCAAGCAAAGAAUUUAAUUUUGGAGAAAUUCUUAGUUCUUGUUCAAUCAAGGCCAAUAUGAACAGCUUAUGUCUCUAUUUUAUCCUCGUUCAGCCACCCCAAGCACGAUUUACUGAUCCUAUAGUAACUGCUUUUAUUUUAGCGAUUAAAGAGACCAGGGCACAAUUUUACACAUUGGUUAAAUCGGAUUUGG